CAUGCAAGUCGAACGAGCGAGAGAGAGCUUGCUUUCUCGAGCGAGUGGCGAACGGGUGAGUAACGCGUGAGGAACCUGCCUCAAAGAGGGGGACAACAGUUGGAAACGACUGCUAAUACCGCAUAAGCCCACGGUGCCGCAUGGCACAGAGGGAAAAGGAGUAAUCCGCUUUGAGAUGGCCUCGCGUCCGAUUAGCUAGUUGGUGAGGUAACGGCCCACCAAGGCGACGAUCGGUAGCCGGACUGAGAGGUUGAACGGCCACAUUGGGACUGAGACACGGCCCAGACUCCUACGGGAGGCAGCAGUGGGGAAUAUUGCACAAUGGGGGAAACCCUGAUGCAGCGACGCCGCGUGGAGGAAGAAGGUCUUCGGAUUGUAAACUCCUGUUGUUGGGGAAGAUAAUGACGGUACCCAACAAGGAAGUGACGGCUAACUACGUGCCAGCAGCCGCGGUAAAACGUAGGUCACAAGCGUUGUCCGGAAUUACUGGGUGUAAAGGGAGCGCAGGCGGGAAGACAAGUUGGAAGUGAAAUCUAUGGGCUCAACCCAUAAACUGCUUUCAAAACUGUUUUUCUUGAGUAGUGCAGAGGUAGGCGGAAUUCCCGGUGUAGCGGUGGAAUGCGUAGAUAUCGGGAGGAACACCAGUGGCGAAGGCGGCCUACUGGGCACCAACUGACGCUGAGGCUCGAAAGUGUGGGUAGCAAACAGGAUUAGAUACCCUGGUAGUCCACACCGUAAACGAUGAUUACUAGGUGUUGGAGGAUUGACCCCUUCAGUGCCGCAGUUAACACAAUAAGUAAUCCACCUGGGG
RNAcentral lists this ribosomal RNA (811 nucleotides) under uncultured bacterium. RNAcentral's name for it is "bacterial SSU rRNA". It matches the Rfam family "Bacterial small subunit ribosomal RNA", at positions 54 to 878 of the family's 1533-position model. The record is from RNAcentral.